Molecule: ribosomal RNA, 253 nt
Filed under: uncultured bacterium
Lineage: Bacteria
Description: partial 16S ribosomal RNA
Rfam family: Bacterial small subunit ribosomal RNA
Source: RNAcentral
UACGUAGGGUGCGAGCGUUAAUCGGAAUUACUGGGCGUAAAGCGUGCGCAGGCGGUUCGUUAAGUUCGUUGUGAAAGCCCCGGGCUUAACCUGGGAAGGUCAUCCAAGACUGAGCGACUAGAGUAUAGUAGAGGGAAGUGGAAUUUCCGGUGUAGCGGUGAAAUGCGUAGAUAUCGGAAGGAACACCAGUGGCGAAGGCGACUUCCUGGACUAAUACUGACACUGAGGUGCGAAAGCGUGGGGAGCAAACAGG